UACAUCAUCAAAAUCAUACAACAAACCCUAAAAACUAUCUUUUCUUCUUCUCAGCCGCUGACCCUCUUCACCUCUGCAUCUCCCCUUCGUAACCUUACUCCUCAUCUUCUUCCGUGUAGCCUCUUCACCCUUGCAUCUCCCCUUCGCAACCUUUCUCCUCAUCCUCUUCCGUGUAGCAGCUCUGCAUUUCCCCUUCGCAACUCUUCCGUGUAGCAGCUCUGCGAACCUUCCUCCUCAUCCUCUUCCGUGUAGCAUCUUCAGAUCUGCAUCUCCGUUCCAGGUUCAAUCUGUUUUUUUGUAGCUCUCAGGGCUUCCUCUUCCACUUCCUCUUCUUCAUUUUCUUCGAUUUUGUUUUGAAGAUUUGUGAAAUUAUUAGUGGGUUUUGAACGUUUUCUGGUUUUUAUCGAUUUCUGGGUUUAAUCGAUUAUGGGUUUUGAUUUACUUCUGGGAUUUCUGCAUUCUGAUUUAUUUCUGGGAUUUCUGGGUUUUAAUUUGAUCCACAAAUCAGUCAUAUUGUUUUAGGAGAAUGUUUGAUCCUGCAGAGAACAAUCGUCUUCCUCUGAGAAAAUCGUUUCGUGCAUGUCCUUCGAGAGGCCCUGUUGUUAUUCCCAACAUCGACCUCGUCGAUUAUGCCUAUCAAUUCGAGUUUUGGUGCAUACCCUCUACUUUGUUGAAGAAUCUUAUCAACUGAAUAAAAGCUCAAAGGCAGACAGACAAGAAGAAAGGACAACUGAUCACAUUAGUACCAUCUAUAUCGAGAUGAGGAUAUACUGGGAACACUGCACGACUGAUGUAUUGUUUGACCUAUGGUCGUGUUAAUUUUGUUCAUGAUUUAUCCUAGUGGAUUUAAGUUCCACAGCAUGGAGUCGAUCUUUGUCAAUGCCCUACUGUUUAAAUUUGUUAUGUGCUUAUAUAUUUAGAUUAAGGAGAACGUGUAAAACUGUUCUGCUAUUGGGCAAAUAAUUUGAAUGCAACUAAGACGUCUUUAAUAUGGAUCAAGUUUAUCUGAA
Non-coding RNA from Malus domestica (apple), 1010 nucleotides. NCBI's taxonomy places the organism in Eukaryota, Viridiplantae, Streptophyta, Magnoliopsida, Rosales, Rosaceae. The record is from RefSeq and is a predicted model, not a curated record.